UCCGGAAUCAUUGGGCGUAAAGCGUCUGUAGGUUGUUUAAUAAGUCUGUUGUUAAAGACUAGGGCUCAACCCUAGAAAAGCAAUGGAAACUACUAGACUUGAGUAUGGCAGGGGUAGAGGGAAUUUCUAGUGUAGCGGUGAAAUGCGUAGAUAUUAGAAAGAACACCAGCGGCGAAAGCGCUCUACUGGACCAUUACUGACACUCAGAGACGAAAGCUAGGGUAGCAAAAGGGAUUAGAUACCCCUGUAGUCCUAGCCGUAAACGAUGGAUACUAGAUGUUGUGUUUAAUAUGCAGUAUCGUAGCUAACGCGUUAAGUAUCCCGCCUGGGGAGUACGCUCGCAAGGGUGAAACUCAAAGGAAUUGACGGGGGCCCGCACAAGCGGUGGAGCAUGUGGUUUAAUUCGAUGCAACGCGAAGAACCUUACCAGGACUUGACAUACUACAAAUUUCUUCGAAAAAAGGAAGUGCCUUCGGGAAUGUAGAUACAGGUGGUGCAUGGCUGUCGUCAGCUCGUGUCGUGAGAUGUUGGGUUAAGUCCCGCAACGAGCGCAACCCUUAUUUUUAGUUACUAAUUAAUUAGGUUUUCUAGAAAGACUGCCGGUGACAGACCGGAGGAAGGUGAGGAUGACGUCAAGUCAGCAUGCCCCUUAUGUCCUGGGCUACACACGUGCUACAAUGGUUAAAACAAAGGGUCGCGAGCUCGUGAGAGUCAGCUAAUCCCAUAAAUUUAGCCUAAGUUCAGAUUGUAGGCUGC
This 756-nucleotide ribosomal RNA is filed under the name uncultured marine haptophyte. RNAcentral describes it as "bacterial SSU rRNA". It matches the Rfam family "Bacterial small subunit ribosomal RNA", at positions 544 to 1308 of the family's 1533-position model. The record is from RNAcentral. Lineage: Eukaryota; Haptophyta.